Molecule: ribosomal RNA, 253 nt
Filed under: uncultured bacterium
Lineage: Bacteria
Description: partial 16S ribosomal RNA
Rfam family: Bacterial small subunit ribosomal RNA
Source: RNAcentral
CACGUAGGGUGCGAGCGUUGUCCGGAAUUAUUGGGCGUAAAGAGCUCGUAGGCGGCUUGUCGCGUCGAAUGUGAAAACUCGGGGCUCAACUCCGAGCUUGCAUUCGAUACGGGCAGGCUAGAGUUCGGUAGGGGAGACUGGAAUUCCUGGUGUAGCGGUGAAAUGCGCAGAUAUCAGGAGGAACACCAAUGGCGAAGGCAGGUCUCUGGGCCGAUACUGACGCUGAGGAGCGAAAGCGUGGAGAGCGAACAGG